RNAcentral lists this ribosomal RNA (279 nucleotides) under uncultured bacterium. RNAcentral's name for it is "partial 16S ribosomal RNA". It matches the Rfam family "Bacterial small subunit ribosomal RNA", at positions 506 to 784 of the family's 1533-position model. The record is from RNAcentral.
UGCCAGCAGCCGCGGUAAUACAGAGGGUGCGAGCGUUAAUCGGAAUGACUGGGCGUAAAGGGCGUGUAGGUGGAUAAGUUAGUCUUAUGUGAAAGACUCGGGCUCAACCUGAGAAGUGCAUAAGAUACUGCUUGUCUAGAGUAAGGUAGAGGUCGGAGGAAUUUCCGGUGGAGCGGUGAAAUGCGUAGAUAUCGGAAGGAACACCAGUGGCGAAGGCGACCGGCUGGACCAUUACUGACACUGAGGCGCGAAAGCGUGGGGAGCAAACAGGAUUAGAUA